GACGAACGCUGGCGGCAGGCUUAACACAUGCAAGUCGAACGCCCUCUUCGGAGGGAGUGGCAGACGGGUGAGUAACGCGUGGGAACGUACCUUUUGGUUCGGAACAACUGAGGGAAACUUCAGCUAAUACCGGAUACGCCCUGAGGGGGAAAGAUUUAUCGCCGAAAGAUCGGCCCGCGUCAGAUUAGCUAGUUGGUGGGGUAAUGGCCUACCAAGGCGACGAUCUGUAGCUGUUCUGAGAGGAAGAUCAGCCACACUGGGACUGAGACACGGCCCAGACUCCUACGGGAGGCAGCAGUGGGGAAUAUUGCGCAAUGGGCGAAAGCCUGACGCAGCCACGCCGCGUGAGCGAUGAAGGCCUUCGGGUCGUAAGACUCUGUGGGAGGAGAAGAAUAAAGACCUGUGAAGAAGCAGGCCGUUGACGGUAUCUCCUUAGCAAGCACCGGCUAACUCCGUGCCAGCAGCCGCGGU
Molecule: ribosomal RNA, 471 nt
Filed under: uncultured bacterium
Lineage: Bacteria
Description: bacterial SSU rRNA
Rfam family: Bacterial small subunit ribosomal RNA
Source: RNAcentral